GUUUGGACGAUACGAGAUCAUAUGAAACCGUAGUCUAAAUUCAAUUUUAAAAUGAAUGUCGAACGGGUGAAAGAUGAGUACAAUAAUGGACUUUUCAUUUUUUUGUAAAGUGGGAUAAAAAGAAAGUGAGUAAACAAUAUAAAAUAAUAUAGGAGAAAACGGUGAAAAGGGGGGCGACGACCGUUAUUAGCCGAGUGUUACUACAAUAAUCGCUUGCCGGCGUUAAGCCAACGACGUCGCGUUCUUAUCCCAAGAAUGUGCCAUUUUUGAGGAACGGAAAAUCCACUAAAGUAAUACUGAAUGCGAUCCCGCUACAGUCUAAUCACGAUUGCGCCACAAUUCUACCAAUUGAUAAAAACGACGAUUCUACAAAGCAAAAUCCGUGGAGGAAUGGUCUACACUUGAACGGUUUUCGUGCCUAUCAAUUUCGCGUCUUAGCAGCCCGAUAACCAGUGUCUCAGCGACAUUCUGUAUGAUCAGGAUUCGGCAUCUAGAAUGAUAAUUAAUGGACGUAGCCAAUAUCGUAGAGAAUCACGUAAAGCAAGCAAGUCCGAUCAUAAACUUGGUGCCGACGGAUAUCAUAUGAGUCUAGGCGUAUUUUCACAGCAGUGGCACUGUGUUCGUUUCGCUGCAGGCUGUCGCCGUGUCUUCCGCCAUCGUCCGUUGGAGUCUCCGAAUCCGCUGGCAUGGCGUUUUACAAUCGACGAUCGAGUGUGUUGGUAACACCGGCAACAAAUACUCUACGCGUAACACCGGAUGUAAACUGGCGUCUCUUAUUACUUCGAAAACCGUGUACCCAAUAUGCAAGAUAUCUCACCCAUGGUUUUAAUAUCGGCUGUCCUCACGAUAUUUCUAUCUAUUAGGAGGUUGAAAGCUACGUCCAUACUGUUCUAGUUGCUGAAUACGAUAAUCAUACAGAAUGUCACUAAAGAGGAAAGACACUGAUAGCUUAGUCGCUUAAACGCAAAAUUCAACAGGCUCGAAACCUAGGGGCCAAACCGACCCCCCGAGAAAUUGCUGCUGCAUAAACUUCAGUUAUAUCAAUUUAAAAAUAAUGCGAUGCAUCUUGGUUUCAACUGCAGCGUUAUCACAUG
This is a non-coding RNA of Cinara cedri, 1094 nucleotides long. The record is from the annotation of a GenBank genome assembly. NCBI's taxonomy places the organism in Eukaryota, Metazoa, Arthropoda, Insecta, Hemiptera, Aphididae.